This 784-nucleotide non-coding RNA is filed under the name Eophreatoicus karrkkanj. The record is from RNAcentral. Lineage: Eukaryota; Metazoa; Arthropoda; Malacostraca; Isopoda; Amphisopidae.
UAAUAAGAAGAGUUUAACUCUGGCUCAGUAAUUGAGUAUUAGUUACAAAUACAUGAAAUAUUAUUAGGGAAGUUGUGUGUUGUUAAAUAAGUUUAGUGCUGUAAGUAGAUUGUCUAUAAUUUUUUAAUUCUCAGUAUGGCGGAUUAAUACAUUAGUUGAUCUAGAUUUAGUAAUAAGGAUUAGUUGGUUAAAUUGGUGCCAGCAGUCGCGGUUAGACCAUGGACUUUGCAAUUUGUUUAAUUACAGUUAUUGUUAACUUUUAUAAAAUUUUUAUUUUUAAGGGUAAAAUCUUAUAUUUUAAUAAUUUAUUAUAUUAUAUGAAGCUGAAAAAUUUUGGGUAUAAACCAGGAUUAGAUACCCUGUUAUUCCAGGACUUUAGAAAGGUAGUAUUAGUUAUAGUCUUCAAACCUAAAGAGUUUGGCGGUACUUAAUUUUAUCAGAGGAACCUGUCUAGUAAAUGAUGAUCCACGAAUAUCUUGCUUAGUAUUAAGGUUUGUAUACCGUCGUUUGUAAUUUUAUUAUCAGAUAUAUAUUAAUUACGAUAAUUCGAUAAUGUCAGAUCAAGGUGCAGCGUAUAACUAAGUUGGGAUGGGUUACAUUUCAUAUUGUAAUUCUAGAUAUAGUGAAAUUGGUAUUAAAGUUUGGAUUUGAUAGUAAUUAAUAAUUAAUAUAUAUUAAUGAUUUUAAUCUUAAGUAUGUACAAAUCGCCCGUCAUUCUCAAAUUAUUGCUAGAGACAAGUCGUAACAUAGUAGAUGUAUCGGAAGGUGUAUCUUUAUAAGUUUA